Molecule: long non-coding RNA, 352 nt
Organism: Solea solea (common sole)
Lineage: Eukaryota; Metazoa; Chordata; Actinopteri; Pleuronectiformes; Soleidae
Exons: 2
Source: RefSeq, a predicted model, not a curated record
UGAGGCCAGCCUCAUGACAGUUUUGGUGUUUGUUUUUGUCUGUCUGUCACUUUCCCCUCCCCCCUUGCACUCUGUCACCUCUGCUGGAUCUGCCUACCUCCCACUCCACACCUGCCCUGCUGCUGCAAUCAAGCCACCUGGUUUCCAUCAGCUCAUCACCCAGUCUGCACUUAGUUCCUGUCCCUACCUUCAGUCUCUGCCGGAUCGUCACUCAGUGUACACGUCCUUUCCUGCCUGCCCGUCUGCCAGCCCAGCCAUCACCUCAAGCCCUCCAGCCAUCAUCCCCCCCCCCCGGACCAGCACCCUUCCUUCCCCGCAUUCCCUCAUCUCAAAUAAACCUUUUCUUUCGUCA